This 367-nucleotide long non-coding RNA is filed under the name Nicotiana tabacum (common tobacco). Its description in RNAcentral is "long non-coding RNA (NTAB_LNC009643)". Lineage: Eukaryota; Viridiplantae; Streptophyta; Magnoliopsida; Solanales; Solanaceae. The record is from RNAcentral.
UUUGACUGAAACUACUAUUAAGGGUUGUGUGCCUUUUCUUUUAUAUAUGACUGUACAAAUUGUAUGACAUACCGAUAAUUUGAUUGCUUUCCCUUUCUCUCUUUCUCCUACAAUUUCUUUUCCUCUUUCCAUUGUUGUAAGUGUUCCUUCCCUUCCUUUCAGGUUCUCAAGAUCUGAUGUAUAAACUAUACAUAAAACCUACUCAGGAGAAAGAAUACAAAGAAACUGAAGAAAGUCAUUGCAGAAAACACGAUUGCAGAUAUAAAAAUUCAGUUAAAUAAACUUUGUUUAGCUAAGACCAUGCUUGACUAACCUUUUUAAUUGAGAUAUAAUGGUUGCUCCUCUCUGUUUUUGUGUAUGUAUGAAU